CAGUCGCCGCGGGAAUACGUAGGGUGCAAGCGUUAAUCGGAAUUACUGGGCGUAAAGCGUGCGCAGGCGGUUUGUUAAGACAGAUGUGAAAUCCCCGGGCUCAACCUGGGAACUGCAUUUGUGACUGGCAGGCUAGAGUAUGGCAGAGGGGGGUGGAAUUCCGCGUGUAGCAGUGAAAUGCGUAGAUAUGCGGAGGAACACCGAUGGCGAAGGCAGCCCCCUGGGCCAAUACUGACGCUCAUGCACGAAAGCGUGGGGAGCAAACAGGAUUAGAUACCCCCGUAGUCCCUGUCUCUUAUAA
This 301-nucleotide ribosomal RNA is filed under the name uncultured bacterium. RNAcentral's name for it is "partial 16S ribosomal RNA". It matches the Rfam family "Bacterial small subunit ribosomal RNA", at positions 509 to 809 of the family's 1533-position model. The record is from RNAcentral.